UGAUCCUAUCCUACCGUCCAUUAACUCCACACGGAUCAUGAUCCCCACAACUCUCGUACAAUCCCUACUUUUGUACAGCUUUUGUGACAUUUGAAUUUUGAAACAGUGUUUCAACAUCGAUUUGAGGAUUUGGCUCCAUCUUCUCUCUUUCUCAUGUAUAUUGAACGACUCGAUCUCCUCUCUUUCUCAGAACACCACCGACUUGAAGAUUACAUCUGGGAGAUAUGACAUCGAAUAAGUUCGUUCUUCCGAUUCAACAACCAUCAGUUUAUAGUGAAUCAAGUCUGCAAAGAUUGGUGGCUACGGAGAAGAGUUCCUGGCUGUAGAUGGUGAUUGAGGUAGGUUCCGACAGACAAACUGAGGAUUUAAUAAGGUGUGGCCGAUAUUUGAUUCUUUUCAAUCUUGUGAUUUUCGGAAGGUAAAUUGAAGCCACCAACGGGCUUGUAGCCUAGCAGCGUGAUGGUAUCAUGGUGCGCAGAUAAGUUGUUCCUCCCCUGCUUCAAUGGCUGAUGUAUCUGCGUUUCAUGCAACUUCAUUUCUUCCUGUAAAAAAGGCUGAGGCUAUAACAGAUACAGAGAGAAGAGGGUUUCUAAAAAUGUAGAGAUAGGCGUAGAGAGGCCAUGUGGUGAAAUUUGGCUCAUGAAAUGAAUGACAACAGAGUAUAGUGUUUAUGUAUGGACUGUGCUUUGCAUUGCUUUAUGUACCAUAGAUUGGUAUUCAUUAGUAAGUUUUUAUUAUUUUCAGGAAGCACCAGAUAUUGUUUAUUUUUGGUCUUACCUUUUCGGGAAAUGGAUGUUGCCAAAAUAAUAUCCGAACCCCAGUUACAGCUAUUAAUUUGUAUUGUGGUUUUUUAUUUAUUUUACUGUUUUUAUUCAUUUAUUUUAAAUCUAAAGAUAAGGGGUUGCUAUUUUGGUUACUUGAUCUAUCCCUGUUACAAGUUUCCCUCUAAUAUGUGUCCUUUACCGGGACUUGAAUAACACUCUGGUUUUGUAGGGUGCUUUCUACCUUUUUAUUGAUUUCAACCAUUACUAUGGCACACAGGUUGAUGGUUUCAAGUUGAUUAAAAACUCAGGAUGCGUGUGCUGGUAUUUGUUAGAAACGGGUCAGUUUCAGGUUGCCCUUGUGUCGAAAAUGAUGGUUAAAGCUGACAAAUACUUGGUCAUGGGAUGCUAUGAUAAUGAUGGUCUUGUGAGCUCUCCAAGAACACCAACACAUGAAUAACAGCUUACAGUAGACUCAGCUGGUAACGGGUUUGGCCACAUUGUUUUCUAUAUUGCACUUGUUAUUUGGAUUGCCCUUCCUUGUUCUUUCACUAUCUACAGGUCUUAGGGCUAUUCGUGAAGUGGUUGGGUAGUACAAAGAAAAUACAAAGAUUAUAGCGGAUACAUUUACCUCACUAGGUUUCAAAGUAUAUGGCGGAAUGCAUGCCCCAUAUGUGUGGGUCCACUUCCCUGGUCGAAAUUCGUGGGACGUCUUCAGUGAUAUUCUUGAGAAAAGUCAUGUUGUGACCACACUUGGGAGUGGGUUCGGACCUGCUGGUGAAGGGUUCGUUAGGGUCAGCGCCUUUCGCCCCAGGAGCAUCGUGUUGGAAGCCUGUAGGAGAUUCAAGGAGCUAAGAAAAUGAAUCCGUUUUCAUAUUAAAUUAAUUAAUUCUUCAAUCAACCUGCUUGUUUGUUGGAGGAAUUUAACCUGCUUGUUUUUUUUUUCGAUCCACCAAUUCCCCCUUGAAUGCUGUCA
Long non-coding RNA from Helianthus annuus (common sunflower), 1737 nucleotides. RefSeq lists it as uncharacterized. The transcript has 8 exons. Lineage: Eukaryota; Viridiplantae; Streptophyta; Magnoliopsida; Asterales; Asteraceae. The record is from RefSeq and is a predicted model, not a curated record.